This 253-nucleotide ribosomal RNA is filed under the name uncultured bacterium. RNAcentral describes it as "partial 16S ribosomal RNA". It matches the Rfam family "Bacterial small subunit ribosomal RNA", at positions 524 to 776 of the family's 1533-position model. The record is from RNAcentral.
UCCAGAGGUCUCAAGCGUUGUUCGGAUUCAUUGGGCGUAAAGGGUGCGUAGGCGGCGCGGUAAGUCGGAUGUGAAAUCUCGGAGCUUAACUCCGAAACUGCAUUCGAUACUGCCGUGCUUGAGGACUGGAGAGGAGACUGGAAUUUACGGUGUAGCGGUGAAAUGCGUAGAUAUCGUAAGGAAGACCAGUGGCGAAGGCGGGUCUCUGGACAGUUCCUGACGCUGAGGCACGAAGGCCAGGGGAGCAAACGGG